RNAcentral lists this ribosomal RNA (463 nucleotides) under Vreelandella stevensii. RNAcentral describes it as "partial 16S ribosomal RNA". It matches the Rfam family "Bacterial small subunit ribosomal RNA", at positions 338 to 795 of the family's 1533-position model. Lineage: Bacteria; Pseudomonadati; Pseudomonadota; Gammaproteobacteria; Oceanospirillales; Halomonadaceae. The record is from RNAcentral.
CCUAGGGGGCUGCAGUGGGGAAUAUUGGACAAUGGGCGAAAGCCUGAUCCAGCCAUGCCGCGUGUGUGAAGAAGGCCUUCGGGUUGUAAAGCACUUUCAGUGGGGAAGAAAGCCUUGGGGCUAAUACCCUCGAGGAAGGACAUCACCCACAGAAGAAGCACCGGCUAACUCCGUGCCAGCAGCCGCGGUAAUACGGAGGGUGCGAGCGUUAAUCGGAAUUACUGGGCGUAAAGCGCGCGUAGGCGGUCUGAUAAGCCGGUUGUGAAAGCCCCGGGCUCAACCUGGGAACGGCAUCCGGAACUGUCAGGCUAGAGUGCAGGAGAGGAAGGUAGAAUUCCCGGUGUAGCGGUGAAAUGCGUAGAGAUCGGGAGGAAUACCAGUGGCGAAGGCGGCCUUCUGGACUGACACUGACGCUGAGGUGCGAAAGCGUGGGUAGCAAACAGGAUUAGAUACCCGAGUAGUC